This 711-nucleotide ribosomal RNA is filed under the name Triticum aestivum (bread wheat). RNAcentral's name for it is "partial small subunit ribosomal RNA". The record is from RNAcentral. Lineage: Eukaryota; Viridiplantae; Streptophyta; Magnoliopsida; Poales; Poaceae.
AAAAGAUGGCAUGACAAAAGGAUACAAAAGUGUCAGUUUAAUGUAGGUGAUUAUGUAUUGCUAUACAACUCUCGUUUAAGAUUUUUUGCAGGAAAACUUCUCUCUAAAUGGGAAGGCCCCUAUGUUAUCGAAGAGUUCUAUCGUUCCGGUGCCAUAAAGAUCAACAACUUCGAAGGCACAAAUCCGUGGGUUGGUGUGAGAAACUUUGAGGCGUGCCAUUCCGCUACAUUGCGUCUCAGCCUCCUCCCUGGCGCUGCGCCAGCGCGGCGCGUGUCCGCGUCCCAUCUCGCGGCCGCGGUGCUGAACUACGUGGACGUCCUGCCGGAGGCCCUCGCCUUCAUCCAGCGGUUCAAGAGCAAGACGGUGGUGGUGAAGUACGGCGGCGCGGCCAUGAAGUCGCCGGAGCUGCAGGCGUCGAUGAUCCGCAACCUUGUCCUCCUCUCCUGCGUCGGCCUGCGCCAUGUGCUCGUGCACGUUGGCGGUCUGGAGAUCAACUCCUGGCUGCAACACAUCGGCGUCGAGCCGCAGUUCCGCAACGGCCUCCGCGUCAUCGACACUCUCACCAUGGAGGUCGUUUGUGAAGGUGCUGGUCAGCAAGUCCGCGGGUUCGUCGGCGAGGUGACGCGCAUACACCUCUCUGUGCUCCACCCGAUCAUCGCGUCCGGCCACAUCCCAGUCAAGCCAACCGUGGCCGCCGACGAGACUGGGUAG